This 253-nucleotide ribosomal RNA is filed under the name uncultured bacterium. Its description in RNAcentral is "partial 16S ribosomal RNA". It matches the Rfam family "Bacterial small subunit ribosomal RNA", at positions 524 to 776 of the family's 1533-position model. The record is from RNAcentral.
UACGUAGGUGGCAAGCGUUGUCCGGAUUUACUGGGUGUAAAGGGCGUGUAGCCGGGUUGACAAGUCAGAUGUGAAAUCCUGCGGCUUAACCGCAGAACUGCAUUUGAAACUGUUGAUCUUGAGUACUGGAGAGGCAGACGGAGUUCCUAGUGUAGCGGUGAAAUGCGUAGAUAUUAGGAGGAACACCAGUGGCGAAGGCGGUCUGCUGGACAGCAACUGACGGUGAGGCGCGAAAGCGUGGGGAGCAAACAGG